RNAcentral lists this ribosomal RNA (238 nucleotides) under uncultured bacterium. RNAcentral's name for it is "partial 16S ribosomal RNA". It matches the Rfam family "Bacterial small subunit ribosomal RNA", at positions 524 to 761 of the family's 1533-position model. The record is from RNAcentral.
UACGUAGGUGGCAAGCGUUGUCCGGAAUUAUUGGGCGUAAAGCGCGCGCAGGCGGUCCUUUAAGUCUGAUGUGAAAGCCCACGGCUCAACCGUGGAGGGUCAUUGGAAACUGGGGGACUUGAGUGCAGAAGAGGAGAGCGGAAUUCCACGUGUAGCGGUGAAAUGCGUAGAGAUGUGGAGGAACACCAGUGGCGAAGGCGGCUCUCUGGUCUGUAACUGACGCUGAGGCGCGAAAGCC